RNAcentral lists this ribosomal RNA (2904 nucleotides) under Enterobacter cloacae. RNAcentral's name for it is "23S ribosomal RNA". It matches the Rfam family "Bacterial large subunit ribosomal RNA". RNAcentral also lists the same sequence under 1 other name. The record is from RNAcentral. Lineage: Bacteria; Pseudomonadati; Pseudomonadota; Gammaproteobacteria; Enterobacterales; Enterobacteriaceae.
GGUUAAGCGACUAAGCGUACACGGUGGAUGCCCUGGCAGUCAGAGGCGAUGAAGGACGUGCUAAUCUGCGAAAAGCGCCGGCGAGGUGAUAUGAACCCUUGACCCGGCGAUGUCCGAAUGGGGAAACCCAGUGUGAUUCGUCACACUAUCGUUAACUGAAUACAUAGGUUAACGAGGCGAACCGGGGGAACUGAAACAUCUAAGUACCCCGAGGAAAAGAAAUCAACCGAGAUUCCCCCAGUAGCGGCGAGCGAACGGGGAGCAGCCCAGAGUCUGAAUCAGCUUGUGUGUUAGUGGAAGCGUCUGGAAAGUCGCACGGUACAGGGUGACAGUCCCGUACACGAAAAUGCACAGGCUGUGAACUCGAAGAGUAGGGCGGGACACGUGGUAUCCUGUCUGAAUAUGGGGGGACCAUCCUCCAAGGCUAAAUACUCCUGACUGACCGAUAGUGAACCAGUACCGUGAGGGAAAGGCGAAAAGAACCCCGGCGAGGGGAGUGAAAAAGAACCUGAAACCGUGUACGUACAAGCAGUGGGAGCACCUUCGGGUGUGACUGCGUACCUUUUGUAUAAUGGGUCAGCGACUUAUAUUCUGUAGCAAGGUUAACCGUAUAGGGGAGCCGAAGGGAAACCGAGUCUUAACUGGGCGUUAAGUUGCAGGGUAUAGACCCGAAACCCGGUGAUCUAGCCAUGGGCAGGUUGAAGGUUGGGUAACACUAACUGGAGGACCGAACCGACUAAUGUUGAAAAAUUAGCGGAUGACUUGUGGCUGGGGGUGAAAGGCCAAUCAAACCGGGAGAUAGCUGGUUCUCCCCGAAAGCUAUUUAGGUAGCGCCUCGUGAACUCAUCUUCGGGGGUAGAGCACUGUUUCGGCUAGGGGGCCAUCCCGGCUUACCAACCCGAUGCAAACUACGAAUACCGAAGAAUGUUAUCACGGGAGACACACGGCGGGUGCUAACGUCCGUCGUGAAGAGGGAAACAACCCAGACCGCCAGCUAAGGUCCCAAAGUCAUGGUUAAGUGGGAAACGAUGUGGGAAGGCCCAGACAGCCAGGAUGUUGGCUUAGAAGCAGCCAUCAUUUAAAGAAAGCGUAAUAGCUCACUGGUCGAGUCGGCCUGCGCGGAAGAUGUAACGGGGCUAAACCAUGCACCGAAGCUGCGGCAGCGACACUAUGUGUUGUUGGGUAGGGGAGCGUUCUGUAAGCCGUUGAAGGUGGCCUGUGAGGGUUGCUGGAGGUAUCAGAAGUGCGAAUGCUGACAUAAGUAACGAUAAAGCGGGUGAAAAGCCCGCUCGCCGGAAGACCAAGGGUUCCUGUCCAACGUUAAUCGGGGCAGGGUGAGUCGACCCCUAAGGCGAGGCCGAAAGGCGUAGUCGAUGGGAAACAGGUUAAUAUUCCUGUACUUGGUGUUACUGCGAAGGGGGGACGGAGAAGGCUAUGUUAGCCGGGCGACGGUUGUCCCGGUUUAAGCAUGUAGGCGGAGGUUCCAGGUAAAUCCGGUACCUUUUUAACGCUGAGGUGUGAUGACGAGGCACUACGGUGCUGAAGUAACAAAUGCCCUGCUUCCAGGAAAAGCCUCUAAGCAUCAGGUAACACGAAAUCGUACCCCAAACCGACACAGGUGGUCAGGUAGAGAAUACCAAGGCGCUUGAGAGAACUCGGGUGAAGGAACUAGGCAAAAUGGUGCCGUAACUUCGGGAGAAGGCACGCUGAUAUGUAGGUGAAGCCCCUGCGGGUGGAGCUGAAAUCAGUCGAAGAUACCAGCUGGCUGCAACUGUUUAUUAAAAACACAGCACUGUGCAAACACGAAAGUGGACGUAUACGGUGUGACGCCUGCCCGGUGCCGGAAGGUUAAUUGAUGGGGUUAGCGGUAACGCGAAGCUCUUGAUCGAAGCCCCGGUAAACGGCGGCCGUAACUAUAACGGUCCUAAGGUAGCGAAAUUCCUUGUCGGGUAAGUUCCGACCUGCACGAAUGGCGUAAUGAUGGCCAGGCUGUCUCCACCCGAGACUCAGUGAAAUUGAACUCGCUGUGAAGAUGCAGUGUACCCGCGGCAAGACGGAAAGACCCCGUGAACCUUUACUAUAGCUUGACACUGAACACUGGUCCUUGAUGUGUAGGAUAGGUGGGAGGCUUUGAAGCGUGGACGCCAGUCUGCGUGGAGCCAACCUUGAAAUACCACCCUUUAAUGGCUGGUGUUCUAACGUAGACCCGUGAUCCGGGUUGCGGACAGUGUCUGGUGGGUAGUUUGACUGGGGCGGUCUCCUCCCAAAGAGUAACGGAGGAGCACGAAGGUUAGCUAAUCCUGGUCGGACAUCAGGAGGUUAGUGCAAUGGCAUAAGCUAGCUUGACUGCGAGAGUGACGGCUCGAGCAGGUGCGAAAGCAGGUCAUAGUGAUCCGGUGGUUCUGAAUGGAAGGGCCAUCGCUCAACGGAUAAAAGGUACUCCGGGGAUAACAGGCUGAUACCGCCCAAGAGUUCAUAUCGACGGCGGUGUUUGGCACCUCGAUGUCGGCUCAUCACAUCCUGGGGCUGAAGUAGGUCCCAAGGGUAUGGCUGUUCGCCAUUUAAAGUGGUACGCGAGCUGGGUUUAGAACGUCGUGAGACAGUUCGGUCCCUAUCUGCCGUGGGCGCUGGAGAAUUGAGGGGGGCUGCUCCUAGUACGAGAGGACCGGAGUGGACGCAUCACUGGUGUUCGGGUUGUCAUGCCAAUGGCACUGCCCGGUAGCUAAAUGCGGAAGAGAUAAGUGCUGAAAGCAUCUAAGCACGAAACUUGCCCCGAGAUGAGUUCUCCCUGAGACUUAAAGUCUCCUGAAGGAACGUUGAAGACGACGACGUUGAUAGGUCGGGUGUGUAAGCGCAGCGAUGCGUUGAGCUAACCGAUACUAAUGAACCGUGAGGCUUAACCUU